AUACAUACCUGGACCGGGCCAAUGGGCUAACAAGAAGGUCCGUGACCUAGACAGGUGACCUUCAUUGCACUUGGAAGGGUGCUGGUCUAAGGUCUCCUUCCUCUAGAAGGAGAUCCUAUGUCAUAUUUUUAGACAGUGGGAGUUUGUGUUCGUACGGCUCCCUA
This 164-nucleotide small nuclear RNA is filed under the name Glycine max (soybean). RNAcentral describes it as "snRNA U1". It matches the Rfam family "U1 spliceosomal RNA". From Rfam's summary of the family: U1 is a small nuclear RNA (snRNA) component of the spliceosome (involved in pre-mRNA splicing). Lineage: Eukaryota; Viridiplantae; Streptophyta; Magnoliopsida; Fabales; Fabaceae. The record is from RNAcentral. RNAcentral also lists the same sequence under 1 other name.